CGGACGGGUGAGUAACGCGUGGAUAACCUGCCUCACACUGGGGGAUAACAGUUAGAAAUGACUGCUAAUACCGCAUAAGCGCACAGUACCGCAUGGUACCGUGUGAAAAACUCCGGUGGUAUGAGAUGGACCCGCGUCUGAUUAGCUAGUUGGUGGGGUAACGGCCUACCAAGGCGACGAUCAGUAGCCGACCUGAGAGGGUGACCGGCCACAUUGGGACUGAGACACGGCCCAA
Molecule: ribosomal RNA, 235 nt
Filed under: uncultured bacterium
Lineage: Bacteria
Description: partial 16S ribosomal RNA
Rfam family: Bacterial small subunit ribosomal RNA
Source: RNAcentral